AGAUGAGGUCUUGCUAUGUUGGCUGGGCUGGUCUCAAACUCCUGGCUUCAAGCAGUCCUCCUGCCUCAGUUUCCCAAAGUGCUGGGAUUACAGGCAUGAACCGCUCUGCCAGGCUAAGAAGUAUGUUGACCAAAUUUAUGUGAGGGGAAGGGUAGGGGGAAAAAUGGUAUGUAAGUUUCUUAUUUUAAAAAAGAACUCUUUCUGACAACUUUGAGUCUCUUAUAUAUAAAAGUACCCAAAACAAAGUUGUUCAGU
Molecule: long non-coding RNA, 255 nt
Filed under: Homo sapiens (human)
Lineage: Eukaryota; Metazoa; Chordata; Mammalia; Primates; Hominidae
Description: non-protein coding lnc-NR5A1-1:1
Source: RNAcentral